RNAcentral lists this long non-coding RNA (1549 nucleotides) under Cyanistes caeruleus (blue tit). Its description in RNAcentral is "lncRNA (ENSCCEG00000019727.1)". The record is from RNAcentral. Lineage: Eukaryota; Metazoa; Chordata; Aves; Passeriformes; Paridae.
CAGACAGAGAAGCCACAGUCUGUGCCUGUCUCUGCUUGGGUGAGCAGAGCCUGCUGUCACCAGCAUUUCUGACCUGAAUGCAAAUUCAAGAUUCAGUUCCUGUGAAUAGUCUCUACUUGAGCUUAUUAUUCACUGUUCAUUUGCCUGAUUCCUGCCAACAGUCACAUUCUCUGGUGUGUUUAGCUGGAGAGAACAUGCAAUGGGUGUAAAUACUGCUGAUGUGAAUUCACUAAGGGAAGGGAUUCAAGUGACUGUUGGUUUUGUGGCAUUCCCUCAGUACUGUUUGUUGCCUUGCAGUCAGUUCUCAGCCAUUGUUCCCCAGAGAUAUACACCAAGGAUAAAAACAUUGUAAUUUAAUGCAAAGGAAGAAUAAGAAAAAGUUCCUAUCACAAGUCAAAGCACUCAUUGCUCAGCUGGUGACCGAUAAGUUGUUAAGUCUUGGCUUUCCCAGAUCCUUGUUUUAUCUGAGCUGGAAGACCCUUGUUUAUUUUUCAUACCUGCCAUGAAAGCUUUUGCUUCUUUCCCCUCCUUUAUAGACAUUGUCUCUUCAUAACUGUGAUGCUCUGAUGUCCUUCAGUUUGUGUUUUUCCUCCCUCAAAGUAAACCAGUAAAGGAAGUGGGGUUCUUCCAAUGCCUGCCCCACUGCCUAGUGCCAAUAUCAGACAAGCUGUUUGUUUCCAGCUGUACCUGGCAGGAUGCAUGCAGCAACCAUGAGCUGUAAAACGGGGACCUAAGUGCCUUUUUAACACAGUUAGGAAGCCUGGCUCUUCUCUGGGAGCUCCUUUGUCAAACAGGCUCAGGAUGAACAAGAAACAACAUACUGAAUUCUCCUCCAAGUGCUGCAGCAGCUGUGGCCAUCUGCAGAGGAGUCACUGGACUACAGCAAUGGGCUACUGGAGCAGCUUCAGUGAGCUGCAGGAGCUUCAUUUCCACAGAAUCCGUUCCCAGGAGGUUUCUCUGGGUCCCAGGUGGCUGUGGUGUUGCUCCAAAGCAAUGAGCAUUGUGAAGAGGCUGAGCAGGAGCUGCUGCUGCCUGGAGAGAGCAGAUUUUUCACAGCAUCAAGAUCCAUUCCUUUGUGGGAAGAGACCUGUGGAUGUAUUCUGUUCCAUCAGGAAGCUCACACUUCAGGAUUUUCUCAUUUUCCAGCUGUAUCAAGAUCACCGUGGCAUACACAGGCUGCUGCAAGCCUUUCCAGUAGUUCCUGCAAGAUGGAAGUGCAAGGGCAAAGCAGGAAUCCAGAAGAGACUCCCCAGUUUGCUGGGGCCAGAGAUGCACACACACCUGAGAGUCAGGAGUGCUGUCUCUGCCGCAGCAGGCAGCGCACAGCAACGCAUUCCUGCCAAAACCAGCACAGGGGAGUCUGACAACAACGGCAAGAGCGGCAAUGAAAAGGCGCCUUCUGCCUCGUGCUCAGCAAACUGAACACAGCCCGAGCAACUGUGCUUUUGGGAGAGAAAAGUGAAUCAAUAACUCGAUGAGGACUGUCAAGUAAUGCUGUUGUCUGCAGUGUCUUUAAUGGCUUUGGUCAAUAAACUGAAAUUAUUUUACA